Molecule: ribosomal RNA, 430 nt
Filed under: Acidobacteriota bacterium
Lineage: Bacteria; Pseudomonadati; Acidobacteriota
Description: Acidobacteria bacterium partial 16S ribosomal RNA
Rfam family: Bacterial small subunit ribosomal RNA
Source: RNAcentral
UGGGGAAUAUUGGACAAUGGGCGAAAGCCUGAUCCAGCCAUGCCGCGUGUGUGAAGAAGGCCUUUUGGUUGUAAAGCACUUUAAGCGAGGAGGAGGCUACUUGGAUUAAUACUCUAGGAUAGUGGACGUUACUCGCAGAAUAAGCACCGGCUAACUCUGUGCCAGCAGCCGCGGUAAUACAGAGGGUGCGAGCGUUAAUCGGCUUUACUGGGCGUAAAGCGUGCGUAGGCGGCUUCUUAAGUCGGAUGUGAAAUCCCUGAGCUUAACUUAGGAAUUGCAUUCGAUACUGGGAAGCUAGAGUAUGGGAGAGGAUGGUAGAAUUCCGUGUGUAGCGGUGAAAUGCGUAGAGGUCUGGAGGAAUACCGAUAGCGAAGGCAGCCAUCUGGCCUAAUACUGACGCUGAGGUACGAAAGCAUGGGGAGCAAACAGG